Molecule: small nuclear RNA, 107 nt
Organism: Nyctereutes procyonoides (raccoon dog)
Lineage: Eukaryota; Metazoa; Chordata; Mammalia; Carnivora; Canidae
Source: RefSeq, a predicted model, not a curated record
GUGCUCACUUGGGUAGCACAUAUACUAAAAUUGGAACAGCACAGAGAAGAUUAGUGUGGUUCUUGUGCAAGGAUGACAUGCAAAUUCAUGAAGCGUUUCAUAUUUUU